This 1578-nucleotide ribosomal RNA is filed under the name Lacticaseibacillus rhamnosus. Its description in RNAcentral is "bacterial SSU rRNA". It matches the Rfam family "Bacterial small subunit ribosomal RNA". Lineage: Bacteria; Bacillati; Bacillota; Bacilli; Lactobacillales; Lactobacillaceae. The record is from RNAcentral.
UUUAUAUGAGAGUUUGAUCCUGGCUCAGGAUGAACGCUGGCGGCGUGCCUAAUACAUGCAAGUCGAACGAGUUCUGAUUAUUGAAAGGUGCUUGCAUCUUGAUUUAAUUUUGAACGAGUGGCGGACGGGUGAGUAACACGUGGGUAACCUGCCCUUAAGUGGGGGAUAACAUUUGGAAACAGAUGCUAAUACCGCAUAAAUCCAAGAACCGCAUGGUUCUUGGCUGAAAGAUGGCGUAAGCUAUCGCUUUUGGAUGGACCCGCGGCGUAUUAGCUAGUUGGUGAGGUAACGGCUCACCAAGGCAAUGAUACGUAGCCGAACUGAGAGGUUGAUCGGCCACAUUGGGACUGAGACACGGCCCAAACUCCUACGGGAGGCAGCAGUAGGGAAUCUUCCACAAUGGACGCAAGUCUGAUGGAGCAACGCCGCGUGAGUGAAGAAGGCUUUCGGGUCGUAAAACUCUGUUGUUGGAGAAGAAUGGUCGGCAGAGUAACUGUUGUCGGCGUGACGGUAUCCAACCAGAAAGCCACGGCUAACUACGUGCCAGCAGCCGCGGUAAUACGUAGGUGGCAAGCGUUAUCCGGAUUUAUUGGGCGUAAAGCGAGCGCAGGCGGUUUUUUAAGUCUGAUGUGAAAGCCCUCGGCUUAACCGAGGAAGUGCAUCGGAAACUGGAAAACUUGAGUGCAGAAGAGGACAGUGGAACUCCAUGUGUAGCGGUGAAAUGCGUAGAUAUAUGGAAGAACACCAGUGGCGAAGGCGGCUGUCUGGUCUGUAACUGACGCUGAGGCUCGAAAGCAUGGGUAGCGAACAGGAUUAGAUACCCUGGUAGUCCAUGCCGUAAACGAUGAAUGCUAGGUGUUGGAGGGUUUCCGCCCUUCAGUGCCGCAGCUAACGCAUUAAGCAUUCCGCCUGGGGAGUACGACCGCAAGGUUGAAACUCAAAGGAAUUGACGGGGGCCCGCACAAGCGGUGGAGCAUGUGGUUUAAUUCGAAGCAACGCGAAGAACCUUACCAGGUCUUGACAUCUUUUGAUCACCUGAGAGAUCGGGUUUCCCCUUCGGGGCAAAAUGACAGGUGGUGCAUGGUUGUCGUCAGCUCGUGUCGUGAGAUGUUGGGUUAAGUCCCGCAACGAGCGCAACCCUUAUGACUAGUUGCCAGCAUUUAGUUGGGCACUCUAGUAAGACUGCCGGUGACAAACCGGAGGAAGGUGGGGAUGACGUCAAAUCAUCAUGCCCCUUAUGACCUGGGCUACACACGUGCUACAAUGGAUGGUACAACGAGUUGCGAGACCGCGAGGUCAAGCUAAUCUCUUAAAGCCAUUCUCAGUUCGGACUGUAGGCUGCAACUCGCCUACACGAAGUCGGAAUCGCUAGUAAUCGCGGAUCAGCACGCCGCGGUGAAUACGUUCCCGGGCCUUGUACACACCGCCCGUCACACCAUGAGAGUUUGUAACACCCGAAGCCGGUGGCGUAACCCUUUUAGGGAGCGAGCCGUCUAAGGUGGGACAAAUGAUUAGGGUGAAGUCGUAACAAGGUAGCCGUAGGAGAACCUGCGGCUGGAUCACCUCCUUUCUAAGGAA